This is a long non-coding RNA of Triticum dicoccoides, 1869 nucleotides long. RefSeq lists it as uncharacterized. The record is from RefSeq and is a predicted model, not a curated record. The transcript has 7 exons. NCBI's taxonomy places the organism in Eukaryota, Viridiplantae, Streptophyta, Magnoliopsida, Poales, Poaceae.
CCCCGUCGCCGCCCGGCCACCUUGCGCCUCGCCGCUUCCCGGCCUCCGCACGCCGCGCCGCAUCCCCAUCACCAGCGCCCGGUCGUGCGAGAACCAUGCCCCCACCAACCCAGCUGACCUUCACCAUGCUGCAGCACCACCACACCAUUUCCUGCCAGUGGGGAUCCGCCGCCGAAUCCAGGCAUAUCGGCGCGGCGCCCUCCGCCUCUUUCUGUCUUCCCUCGGUGACGCUCCUCCACCAUCACUCUGCCAGGUUCCAGCGGGGGCUCCACAUGCCGCUACGUCAGUCCAAAUCCCGCUACCCAGGCCGACCACCACCAAGUUCCUCUUUGCUCCACCCCCACAUCGGGUUGCAGCUCGGGCCCCUCGGUGCCGCAUCUGGUAGAGCUCGCUGCCCUGCUGUGGUUCUAACAGGGGAUGGACGUGCUGGCAUACACAGGAAGAUCGAGGCCCUCGUCUGGUACGUCCAGUUUUGAUCGCGAUGCUUUUCUACUCAUGACACUGGAGCCCCCACUACGCACAAGUACGUGGUGGAAGUUUGUAUCAGUUCGCACCUUCCAUAAAGUUUGUAAGUACAAAGAUAUCACCUUGAUGUAGUAUGUAAAUAUGUAUUGCAAAUUUGCAAUUCAGGAAUGGGUGUGUGUGUUGUAGUCUCUGCCUACAGAGUCGAUAUGUGUUUUUGUAGUGUUGGUAGUUGUAGUCUCCCGCGCUCUCUGCCGUCGUCAAGGGCGCAUGUGUGCCGUCCUCAGUCCAACCCCAUGGCAUCAGGGUGGUCGAGUUCGUCGCGACCAGCAGUCCAUGGCUGUCGGUUUCAACUUUAUUCCACCUAGCUGCCAAUGUGGUCGCUGGGGCUAGUCAACUGGAAGAUCUACAUGUCAUCAGUCCAACUUCUUGCCCCGCCGCCGGUCACUCAAAAAAGAGUCGCGUGUAGGCCACCCCAUGCUCCGCCCCCUGAUCCGGCGUUUUUGUUUCAAAAUUUUAAGAAGAAUAUCAGUCCAAUAGCAGUCCAAUUUGCAAACCAAUAGCAGUCCGCGGGCCACUACUACAGCAAAUAUCCGAGUUUUCUUGUUGAUUUAUGAGGGAUACCACAAGUUCUAUUUUUACAGAAGUUGAACUACAGGAUAUGAAGUUUGAUGGAUGUGGAGGUCGAAGGAGCUCCCUUCAGUUCAAUGGAUUCAACAAAAUAAUCCAUGUUGCCUACUAGAACUUGCGUGUGUGCUGUGGCAUGUGUGCUGCUGCAUGCCUGGUGCCUGAUGCGGCGUGCGAGCAUGUACACAAAUUGAACUGAAUGAUCUCCAGAUUUUGCAGGGUCUUUGGGUUAGAAGUGGUUAAUUGGUUAGCCCCUGGAGCUUGUCCGCGAGCUAGGCGCUGGGCCAACCACAAGGCAAACGCCACCAGGUAGGGCGCCAGACGGCUGCCGUGCGUGGCGUGAGCCUUUCCGACCCCAUUUCCAGGUUAAGCGCCAAGGAUCUCAUCGUCGGGUUCGCAAAAGCACUAGCGCCUCUGCUUCCAAUUUUCUUCAAAAGUUCUGCUAACCAAUUAGCCACUGAUAAGAUGACUUUACUUCCAACUAGCCACUCAAAAGUUGUGGCCAUUUAAUGACACCUUCUACAUUUGAGACAUGUGAAAUUGUAACCUUCCAAUGUUACCGUUUGGUAGCUCAGGAUGCUUUAUGUUUUGGAGAUCUACAGAGUGACUAUCUGAGAGCUGUGUUGGACUUUCUCAUUACAGCAUGGAACUUCUCUGAAAAUCCCAGUUGAUUUUUAAUGUUUGCUCCUCAUCAGUUCUAAAAAUCUCAGAGCAUCCGUCCAACUAUGUAUCAGGAUAUACUAUGUUGUAAAUUUAUGUAUGCUUGUAUGUGCAAAAAUA